RNAcentral lists this ribosomal RNA (253 nucleotides) under uncultured prokaryote. RNAcentral describes it as "partial 16S ribosomal RNA". It matches the Rfam family "Bacterial small subunit ribosomal RNA", at positions 525 to 777 of the family's 1533-position model. The record is from RNAcentral.
ACGUAGGUGGCAAGCGUUGUCCGGAUUUAUUGGGUUUAAAGGGCGCGUAGGCGGUCUUUUAAGUCAGUGCUGAAAUACUCCAGCUUAACUGGAGGGGUGGCAUUGAUACUGGGAGACUUGAGUAUAGUUGAGGUAGGCGGAAAUGACGGUGUAGCGGUGAAAUGCUUAGAUAUCGUCAAGAACACCGAUAGUGAAGACAGCUUACUAAACUAUAACUGACGCUGAGGCACGAAAGUGUGGGGAUCAAACAGAA